UACGAAGGGGGCUAGCGUUGCUCGGAAUGACUGGGCGUAAAGCGCGUGUAGGUGGUGGGUCAAGUCUGCUGUGAAAGCGCCUGGCUUAACCGGGCGAGGUCGGCGGAAACUGUCCGACUAGAGGACGGUAGAGGGGGGUGGAAUUCCGGGUGUAGCGGUGGAAUGCGUAGAGAUCCGGAAGAACACCGGUGGCGAAGGCGGUGAGCUGGGCAGUUGCUGACACUGAGGCGCGACAGCGUGGGGAGCAAACAGG
Molecule: ribosomal RNA, 253 nt
Filed under: uncultured bacterium
Lineage: Bacteria
Description: partial 16S ribosomal RNA
Rfam family: Bacterial small subunit ribosomal RNA
Source: RNAcentral